AGGAUAGGUAACUCUUUAUCAGAAUUCAUUUAAUAAAAAUAUAUAUGGGACUUUUUCGGCAUAUUUGGUGUCGACAAUCAAAAUGUUGCUUUUCUCAUAGACUGUUCAGACCUGGUGAAUAUGGUGUUUUUCCCAACCGAUUGGCCGACUUUUUCAGCAUAUUUGACGGAUUUUCAAAGCGAUGGGAAGAAUUCUUGGCUUUUUCUUUAUUAUUAGUUUCUUGCAGUGCAAAUGUAAAAGCGGAUUCUUUAUCGAAAAAUUCGUACCGAACUGCAUCAUAUCACCUAUGUAAACAACAUUCCACAAGAAUGACUCAAUUGAGCUCUCUUUAAUAAAUCGGUUGACAAAAAAU
This 352-nucleotide small RNA is filed under the name Arabidopsis thaliana (thale cress). Its description in RNAcentral is "ATSL099830". The record is from RNAcentral. Lineage: Eukaryota; Viridiplantae; Streptophyta; Magnoliopsida; Brassicales; Brassicaceae.